AGGAGUCGUCGUCUUCAUGAAAGAAAAGAAGAAGAUAAGCGACUGCUUUCUCUUCAAGAAUCAACACCAGAACCAUCUCUUGGAGAUACAUGUAUAUACAUUGAUGAAAGUGAAUACAUGGAGUGGAUCCCAACAUUAACAGUCUCCUGAUGUCAACUAAAGAUAAGUGAUUCAUACAUACAUUUUAAUAUGUACAGUACAUGCACCUGUUCCAGCCUGUAAUUAUUCUCUCAUGUGACACAAUCGCUUGUAAUUAAAUCACAAGCAACAUGAUUCAUAAAAAUGCAAUAACAAGUUCAUUCUUUCUUCCUCUAGUAUUUAGCAAAUGUUCAUAGUUAGUAUACAUGUACAUGUUACCCUUUUGUUCAAUUUCCCUUAUUCUUUUUCUAAAGAUGUUUAACAUUAUUACAUAAUGAUUUUAUUUAUUAUAGGCAAUAGGUAAAGAUCAGGAAAGAGUGAGUGGUGCUUGGAGGGAAGGUUAGAUUCCUAGCUGCCUCAUCAUGGCACUAGAGGUUCAACCACACUAUUAACACGAGGAAAGGUUAGAUUCCUAGCUGCCAUUGUCAUGGCACUAGCUAGAGGUUCAACCAGGUUAGAUUCCUAGCUGCCACUUUAUCUUGGCACUAGAGGUUCAACCAUACUAUGAGGAAAGGUUAGAUUCCUAGAUGCCAUUAUCAUGGCACUAGAGGUUCAACCAGGUUAGAUUCCUAGCUGCCACUUUGUUUUGGCACUAGAGGUUCAACCAUGCAGAGUUAAUUCCAUUGAGUCUCUACUACAGGAAAAGAAAACUUGCGCAUCAAUGACAGACCAGGCUGACUUCAAUAUGGCAACAAUCAACCUAUAAAUAAGGUUGUGGAAUGGGUGGUAGCGGUGGGGGGCCAGCUACGCAGCAUCACCUAUUCGCGACGGUGCUGGCUAUCAUCCCAGCUCAAAUCAAUUGGGGAUGCAAGAAUGCUGCUUUCAUUACUAAUCAUUUUCAUUGAUUGAAUUUUAUUAAUUUCUACUUCAUUUUCAAUGUCAAAACAGAUACUUUUUAGCAUUUA
Amphimedon queenslandica is the source of this 1043-nucleotide long non-coding RNA. RefSeq lists it as uncharacterized. NCBI's taxonomy places the organism in Eukaryota, Metazoa, Porifera, Demospongiae, Haplosclerida, Niphatidae. The record is from RefSeq and is a predicted model, not a curated record. The transcript has 3 exons.